This 959-nucleotide ribosomal RNA is filed under the name uncultured euryarchaeote. RNAcentral's name for it is "bacterial SSU rRNA". It matches the Rfam family "Archaeal small subunit ribosomal RNA", at positions 373 to 1332 of the family's 1478-position model. Lineage: Archaea; Methanobacteriati; Methanobacteriota. The record is from RNAcentral.
AGGGGACCCCGAGUGCCAGUACCUAGUGCUGGCUGUCCCGCUGUCCAAACAACAGUGGUUAGCAAGGGCCGGGCAAGACCGGUGCCAGCCGCCGCGGUAACACCGGCGGCCCGAGUGGUAGCCGUUAUUAUUGGGUUUAAAGGGUCCGUAGCCGGCUUAUUAAGUCUCUUGGGAAAUCUGGCGACUUAAUCGUCAGGCGUCCAAGAGAUACUGACAGGCUUGGGACCGGGAGAGGUGGGAGGUACUCCAGGGGUAGGGGUGAAAUCUCGUAAUCCUUGGGGGACCACCGAUGGCGAAGGCAUCCCACCAGAACGGGUCCGACGGUGAGGGACGAAAGCUGGGGGCACGAACCGGAUUAGAUACCCGGGUAGUCCCAGCUGUAAACGAUGCUCGCUAGGUGUCAGGUGCGGUGCGACCGCAUCUGGUGCCGCAGUGAAAACUUGAAGCGAGUCACCUGGGAAGUACGGUCGCAAGGCUGAAACUUAAAGGAAUUGGCGGGGGAGCACUACAACGGGUGGAGCCUGCGGUUCAAUUGGAUUCAACGCCGGAAAGCUUACCGGGUCAGACAGCAAUAUGAAGGUCAGGCUAAAGACCUUACCGAAUUCGCUGAGAGGAGGUGCAUGGCCGUCGUCAGUUCGUAUCGUGAGACAUCCUGUUAAGUCAGGCAACGAGCAAGACCCGUGCCCACAGUUGCCAGCAUAUCCGCAAGGAUGAUGGGCACACUGUGGGGACCGCCGCUGCUAAAGCGGAGGAAGGAGCGGGCUACGGUAGGUCAGUAUGCCCCGAAUCAUCCGGGCUACACGCGGGCUACAAUGGUUGGGACAAUGGGCACCUACACCGAGAGGUGAUGGUAAUCUCCUAAACCCAGCCUUAGUUCGGAUUGAGGGCUGCAACUCGCCCUCAUGAAGCCGGAAUCCGUAGUAAUCGCGUAUCAACAUCACGCGGUGAAUACGUCCCUG